Molecule: ribosomal RNA, 458 nt
Filed under: uncultured Vibrio sp.
Lineage: Bacteria; Pseudomonadati; Pseudomonadota; Gammaproteobacteria; Vibrionales; Vibrionaceae
Description: bacterial SSU rRNA
Rfam family: Bacterial small subunit ribosomal RNA
Source: RNAcentral
CCCGGCAGGCCUAACACAUGCAAGUCGAGCGGUAACAGGAAUUAGCUUGCUAAUUUGCUGACGAGCGGCGGACGGGUGAGUAAUGCCUGGGAAUAUGCCUUAGUGUGGGGGAUAACUAUUGGAAACGAUAGCUAAUACCGCAUAACGUCUUCGGACCAAAGAGGGGGACCUUCGGGCCUCUCGCGCUAAGAUUAGCCCAGGUGGGAUUAGCUAGUUGGUGAGGUAAAGGCUCACCAAGGCAACGAUCCCUAGCUGGUCUGAGAGGAUGAUCAGCCACACUGGAACUGAGACACGGUCCAGACUCCUACGGGAGGCAGCAGUGGGGAAUAUUGCACAAUGGGGGAAACCCUGAUGCAGCCAUGCCGCGUGUAUGAAGAAGGCCUUCGGGUUGUAAAGUACUUUCAGUCGUGAGGAAGGGUAUGUAGUUAAUAGCUGCAUGCCUUGACGUUAGCGACAGA